RNAcentral lists this transfer RNA (69 nucleotides) under Marmota marmota marmota (Alpine marmot). It matches the Rfam family "tRNA". From Rfam's summary of the family: Transfer RNA (tRNA) molecules are approximately 80 nucleotides in length. Their secondary structure includes four short double-helical elements and three loops (D, anti-codon, and T loops). RNAcentral also lists the same sequence under 6 other names. Lineage: Eukaryota; Metazoa; Chordata; Mammalia; Rodentia; Sciuridae. The record is from Rfam by way of RNAcentral.
GGGUUUGUGGCUCAGUGGUAGAGCACUUGCCUAGCAUGUGUGAGGCACUGGGUUCAAUUCUCAGCACCA